RNAcentral lists this signal recognition particle RNA (99 nucleotides) under Burkholderiaceae bacterium. Its description in RNAcentral is "signal recognition particle sRNA small type". It matches the Rfam family "Bacterial small signal recognition particle RNA". Rfam says of the family: The signal recognition particle (SRP) is a universally conserved ribonucleoprotein involved in the co-translational targeting of proteins to membranes. Archaeal SRP consists of a 7S RNA and homologues of the eukaryotic SRP19 and SRP54 proteins. The record is from RNAcentral. Lineage: Bacteria; Pseudomonadati; Pseudomonadota; Betaproteobacteria; Burkholderiales; Burkholderiaceae.
GGCGGGCCCCCCCGCAUCGCGGAAUGGUGAAUCUGGUCAGGUCCGGAAGGAAGCAGCCACAGCCAGUCACCGCGAGUGCCGGGGUUCCGGCUCGCCCCC